AUGGGCGAGUGUGCAAAGAUAGGGCGAGGCUGUACGGCCAUGUACGGAUAUGUACGGACCGGUACGACCCGAGAGAUCACAACUCGUCCAUUUGAGAUGUUUUGAGAUUGUGCAAAGUCCGGGACAAGAUGUGCAAGCUUAGGGCGUGAUCAGAACAUGUCAAGGAGGCUUUGUGCAAUCUUAGGGUGUUGGGAGAAGGCCCUGGUCGUUUGGAAUCAAGAAGGCAUCAAGAAGGCAUCAAGAAGAUGCUUUGUGGAGGCAAACAACCAAUGGGAGCUUCCUUGUGUGUGAUUGGCUAGUUCUGGUCUUGGACAGGCUGUCUCUUGCAGUAAAGAGAAGGGAGCCACGACCAUGAACCUGGACAGAUGCAUGGGAAGAUUAGGAGGAGCCUAAGGAGAGCCAAUCACAAGCAAGGAGCCAGCUUGCCUUGGUUUGAAUUAAAGUGAACAGCCAACCUUAUCCUCACAACUCUUCAGAUAUUACAAGAAGACCAUCUCAUCUACACCAUCCAUUCACUCAAGUUAAUAUUAUCCAUUAGAUUUAGGUUUCAGAUUGUGUAAACCUAUUGAGCUUAUAAAUAAGCAUGUAAAUGGCGAUUUGGAGCCUUAAGGGAGUAAGGGGGAUUUCCCCUCUCCACUUCUUGGAAAUAAGAAAAUGUGUUCUUGAA
Molecule: long non-coding RNA, 667 nt
Organism: Brassica rapa (field mustard)
Lineage: Eukaryota; Viridiplantae; Streptophyta; Magnoliopsida; Brassicales; Brassicaceae
Source: RefSeq, a predicted model, not a curated record